This 2242-nucleotide long non-coding RNA is filed under the name Homo sapiens (human). RNAcentral describes it as "HSALNT0204872". Lineage: Eukaryota; Metazoa; Chordata; Mammalia; Primates; Hominidae. The record is from RNAcentral.
CCAGAAUACAACAUAAGGCAGAGUAAGGAAUAAUUCACUCUCUGAAUGACUGUUUUCAAGCUGGGACAUGGGUCUCCUGCCUUCAGACUUGGUCUCAGAUAGAACUUAACCUUCAAUUCUUCUGGUUUUUGGACUGAGAAUAGGAUUGGGGCUUAAACCAUCAGCUUUCCUGGUUCUCGGGUCUUUGGAUCCUGAUUGGAAUGAUAUCAUUGGCUUUCCAGAGUCUUUAGCUUGCUGACUGCAUAUCUUGGAACUUCUCAGCUUUCAUAAUCAAUUACAGUUGAAUAUGAGGAGCUGGAUUGCAGUGUCAUGACCUGGGCUCAGUGUAACUUCCAUCUGCCAGGCUCAAGAGAUCCUCCCGCCUCAGCGUCUCGAGUAGCUGGGACUACAGGAACGUGCCACCAGGCCUGGCUAAUUUUUUAUUUUUUUUGUGAAGACGGGGUUUCACUAUGUGGCUCAGGCUGGUCUCAAACUCCAGGAAUCAAGGGACCCACCUGCCUAGGCCUCCCAAAGUGCUGGGAUUACAGGCAUGAGCUACCGCACCAGGGCUGUAUGUAAUUAUUUAAUAUUGUUUGUCUUAGCCAUAUAUCAGGUUGUUUAUAAACAACAGAAAUUUAUUUCACACAGUUCUGUAAGCUAGAAAAUCCACAAUUAAGGCGUCAUCAGAUUUGAUGUCCAGGGAGGGCCCACUUUCCCAUAAUGACACCACUGAAAUGUACAUAUGGUAGAGGUGCAGCAUCAGUCAUGCUGAUGAAGAAAACAUCCAUGGGAUUGAUGGAGGAUGAAAACGGGCUCAAUAAAAAUUCACAGAGAAAAGCUGCCUUACGUGUGAGAUUGCAAGAGGACAACUCGGCUCUAAAAUCGAUGCAUUAACAUGUCAUUGGAAUUGACCUUGCCAAAAGAUGCCUCCCUAAAUCCACAAGAAUCUCCUUGUUUGAACACAGUUUCUAAUCCAGCUGUAAUGAAGACAGACAACAGUCAAAUUAACAACUGAUCAGGAGGAGAAGUUCAUACUCCUUGAGCUGGAUCUAUCUGCACAUGCACCUGGCCCAGGAAGCUGAAAUGGGAGAUCUGAUGAGCAGUGGAGGACUGAACCAAAGCCCUUGGCUUUUGCUCCAUACCAGUCAGCCGUUCUGGACAUACACAUGGGCAGAAGAUGUAGCCGCCUUGUGUGAAAAUUUGAGAGCUCUCUACUCCAUCUUCCGCUAGUAUAACCCUCAUUGGCUGGAAUCAUAAUGGUAUCUGCAUCUGGAACUGGCCACUAGUAUAACACCUACAAAAUGCACAACGGCCUUCAGACCAUAUGAAAAGUCUACAGGGUGAGAAUCUGAAAAUCCAGCAAUGAGGAGAAAAAAGUUAUCUCCCAUUAAGAACACUUUCCAGAAGCUACACAAUUCCAGUUAUUGAUUCAUCCCAUUUACUAGAACCUGUUCAUCUGGCUAUGCCCAAAACCAAGGGAAACUGAAAUAGUGGUUACCAUAUUCUGUAACUCAGCCUAGCCUAGCUUCAGAAGUUUUAAUAAAGAAAAUAAAAUGUAUUGAAAUAUUUUUAUAAUAUCUAUUCAUUUCAAAAUACAUUUUUUGUUUCAGCUCAAUCUUCCAUUUUAAUAUUCUAUCACACUCCUUCAUAUAAGUUCAGAUGUAUUUUAACUUCUUUCUGAGGGACAUUGUUUCCUAUAAUCAAAGCAGUUCAACUAUCUGCUAAGUCAGUGCUUUCCUAUUAUAAGCUAUUUUGAUUACAAUCAACCUGUGCAGAACAAUAGGAUGCUUUAGCAAUGACUAAACACCAAUGAAUACUUCCUUAGCUUUACAUAAUGAGCAAAGGAAGUAUGGCCCCAUAGUCUCAUCUCAGUUUCCUUAAGUCACUAUCAAUUCAGGUGUAAAAUACAGAAAACACUUACAUUGAAAUUUUUGAUUCCUCCAAAUGGAAGAUAAAUUAUACAGCAUUGUUGAGUUGUAAUCUCCAAAACCAAAAUUUCUGUGUUUUCCACAUAAGCAACCCAAACUGAGAGUUGCAUAACAGCCCAAGAACUAAACAUUGACACCAGCCUCAAAAACAGACCAUUGAUUAUCACAACAAAAACUUCAAAAUGCACCGGGGCCUCGUGGGCACAGGAGGUCUUUCAGGGAGUGAGCAUCAUUGUGAUAGGAUGGAAAUGCUAAGAUGUUUCUCUAUUCUAUUAAUAUAUUCUGUAUUCUAGCAAUAUAGAAUAUAAUACGUAGAAUAUAGUAUAUAUAAUUAG